GACGAACGCUGGCGGCGUGCUUAACACAUGCGAGUCGAACGGAAAGGCCCUGCUUUUGUGGGGUGCUCGAGUGGCGAACGGGUGAGUAACACGUGAGUAACCUGCCCUUGACUUUGGGAUAACUUCAGGAAACUGGGGCUACUACCGGAUAGGAGCUCCUGCUGCAUGGUGGGGGUUGGAAAGUUUCGGCGGUUGGGGAUGGACUCGCGGCUUAUCAGCUUGUUGGUGGGGUAGUGGCUUACCACGGCUUUGACGGGUAGCCGGCCUGUGAGGGUGACCGGCCACAUUGGGACUGAGAGACGGCCCAGACUCCUACGGGGGGCAGCAGUGGGGAAUAUUGCACAGUGGGCGGAAGCCUGAUGCAGCAACGCCGCGUGCGGGAUGACGGCCUUCGGGUUGUAAACCGCUUUCGCCUGUGACGAAGCGUGAGUGACGGUAAUGGGUAAAGAAGCACCGGCUAACUACGUG
This 468-nucleotide ribosomal RNA is filed under the name uncultured bacterium. RNAcentral describes it as "partial 16S ribosomal RNA". It matches the Rfam family "Bacterial small subunit ribosomal RNA", at positions 28 to 507 of the family's 1533-position model. The record is from RNAcentral.